CUUCUGUACAUUUGGGGACAACAUAAUCAUUUCCUUGAUUUGAUUAAGCAUGUAUGGAAUUUAUUGAAAUGCCUGAUUUCUGCAAAUAGUUGCAGCUGUUCACAAUAAAUUCUCAUUUCAUCUAACCCAACUUCACUAUAUUUCCAUGCUAUUUCCAGGCCAGACAGUUCAAGUAGUUCGUUUCCCUCUUGGCUCGGAGAAAAUCAAGCAAAUCUUCACACCACAUAGAAAGUAUUAUUCUUCAGCUUCCUUCUCCAAAUUCUACCGACUUUGCUCUAAGCUCAGGCUCUGUGUCCCAACACACGCAAGAAAAAGAAUGUGAGUUACUAAAAAGGGAAAGUAAACAAGUGACCAAACGUGUUUUGUAACCCACCAUGGUAAUAAUAAAUGUUCGCCACUUCCCAGAACCUCAUUGCAAAAUUAUUUGGAACAUCCAAUCAAUGAGAAUCGAAUUUGUGAAUUUGUCACUUUCAUAAUACGAUAUAGCAUAUUGAAAAAUUCAGUAAUAGAUCCCUUCUCGAUGUCUAAGUGGAGUUUCAAACAGUAUCUAAUACCCAUCCAAACCCGUUUGAUGGGAAAAGCCGCAAAAAAACAUACUUGGUAUUGCCCUGAGGAAUAAGCAAAUACGUG
This 630-nucleotide long non-coding RNA is filed under the name Olea europaea subsp. europaea. Lineage: Eukaryota; Viridiplantae; Streptophyta; Magnoliopsida; Lamiales; Oleaceae. The record is from RNAcentral.